Molecule: long non-coding RNA, 890 nt
Filed under: Ricinus communis (castor bean)
Lineage: Eukaryota; Viridiplantae; Streptophyta; Magnoliopsida; Malpighiales; Euphorbiaceae
Description: long non-coding RNA (RCOM_LNC001736)
Source: RNAcentral
UAGAAUUUAAAAGGGGGUAACAGUUGAUGACUCAAGAAUUGAGGGACCAACGGAGUAUAUGGCUUGAGAAGGAAAGAGAAAAGAAAGAAAGAAAAAAGAAAGGACGAAGAAGAAGAAGAAAAAGAAGAAGAAGGGGGAGAGAGAGAGACUUAGUCUGCCUCUAAUGAAACAAGGGUGAGGAAGGGGCCUGAGGUGCAGUGAAGCUAGCUGGAGAAGCAGCUGUCAACGGCGAGCUUGGUGGAAGGCGAUGGCAGCAGCUCCAACGGCGGUGGAAUGACGAUAAAUAAUAAGAAGGAUAGUAGCUCUUCACGUCGUUCAUGGUAUUUUCGGCAAGAUGAACAACUGCAUCUCGUGGUGAUCAACUUGUCGGAGAGUGGGCUUCCAUCUAGGGGCAGCAGUAAUGAUAAUGGUGGGCAGAGAAAAAAGAGAUCCGAGAAAGAAUAGCUAUAAGGGGCAACUUGGGUUCUUAAGGUUUUUCGACCAAUGUCAUCGUGCCUUCGUUGAUCAGAGACCAUAUUCGGGACCCACGUAUCACAAGCUUUCCAAUGACACCAAUUUCGGGCGAUCAGACUCCAUUGAAAAAUCAACAGUUGAAAACUGUCGAUGAGAUUUUGGGAUGAUCGGGGGUUCAAUCAGAUAUUCAUAUGUGGACUUGUUUGCUACAUAUUAUUUUGAAUCAGUAGAUGAGCUCGGAUCGUCGAUCGAACUUCGGCAGUCAGAGGCGAGUUGACUGUCUCAGUAAAUUCUUUAGAAAUUAUUAAUUGGAGAAAAAUGAUUUAAGGUAUAUUUGUAAGUAUCUUGAAAAAUUAAAUAUGUGCUGUUGAAAAGAGUAACUUGAGCAAUUUUACAAGACCUUAUAUUUAGUUACUUUAUAAAUACUAAAAUGUGAA